RNAcentral lists this ribosomal RNA (407 nucleotides) under uncultured bacterium. RNAcentral describes it as "partial 16S ribosomal RNA". It matches the Rfam family "Bacterial small subunit ribosomal RNA", at positions 30 to 526 of the family's 1533-position model. The record is from RNAcentral.
AUUGAACGCUGGCGGCAGGCCUAACACAUGCAAGUCGAGCGGAGCGGCGGACGGGUGAGUAAUGCCUAGGAAUCUGCCUGGUAGUGGGGGAUCAAUUCCGGAAGCGGACGCUAAUACCGCAUACGAGCAGAUGAGUCUCGGUGGGAUUAGCUAGUUGGUGGGGUAAUGGCUUACCAAGGCGACGAACCGUAACUGGUCUGAGAGGAUGAUCAGUCACACUGGAACUGAGACACGGUCCAGACUCCUACGGGAGGCAGCAGUGGGGAAUAUUGGACAAUGGGCGAAAGCCUGAUCCAGCCAUGCCGCGUGUGUGAAGAAGGUCUUCGGAUUGUAAAGCACUUUAAGUUGGGAGGCGUUACCAACAGAAUAAGCACCGGCUAACUACGUGCCAGCAGCCGCGGUAAUUC